GUUACUAGAAAAUCUAUUGAGAUAACUAGUAAAUGGAUCAGAAUCUAAAAAUAUGCUCAGAAAAAAUACUUUCAGUUCCUCUGACACAAAAUACCACGUGGCAAUUGUAGAAACUCAUCACGCCUUAAUUUUAAUAAAAAUAAAAUAAAAUAACUGAAGACUAUAAGAUGAAUGUAGUUGAUUGAAUUACAAAUUGAGUAUGGGGAAUUAACUAGAACUCUUAUUACUAAUAACAGAUUUGCAAACAAAUUAAUGGAAAAACAUGUUCUUAAAUAUUAUUCAUUUGUGUAUUUCAAUGAAAUCAAUAUGUCUCGGAGAAUGAUUAGAAAGGCUAAGGAUCAUGUUAUUAUCGCUUAUCUUCGAUAUAAUUGAACCAUAUAUUAGACAUAAACUGUCCGAGAGAAAAUUGAUGAGUAUACAACCAUUUAAAUUAUAAAAAUACUGCUUUUUAUUCAUUAAUACUUAGAACACAAUAUUGAUUCAAAUAAAUAGUUUUCUAUCGUUUUCUAUCUACAAUCAAAUCAUAGGAUUUUCCAGGUUUUCCCUUACUAAAUAUUUCACAAAUAUACAUAACAUCACACAUAACAUAAUUUUAAUGUUCUCUGUACAUACAAGGUAGACCAGAAAUAUGUAUGUGAAUUUUUAAAGCUGAUACAAUAAGAAAGGUAAUGAAUGUACAUAUUUCUAAGAAAGUGAAGAAAAAGGGAAAAUAUUUAUGUUGUUUGAGUUGUUUAAGUUAGAACAGAAGUUAAUCGAUAUUAUCUAGGAAUCUAGGAAUAAUAGGUAACUAGAGGUUACUUUACUAAGAAGCUAGAAAAUACUUAUUCUUCAAACUUGAUAGUGGUGAAAGUCUCGAACCAUUGAAAAACAUUUAGUACAAUUCAGAUAUUACGCAAAAUUUCAAGUAGAUGUGAGGAAACAUUAAAUAGACCGCUAUAUUUAAUGAGGUGGAUAAAAACCAACUUUAUAAAGGCUAAUAUUGCUGUUUACAACUCAGUGUACUCACCAGUUCUGACUUUUAACUACAAUACUGACAAAAGUGCUUGUAUGCAAAGUACACGGAAUGGAAAUAAAGAAAUCAGAAGUCCUAUUAGUAAUAUGAAUUGACAAAAUACGAGAUAAACAUAUAUGGAUGAAAUACUAGAAAGAAUCAUUACUACAAAAUUGAAAUGCUACGACCACCUAAGACGGAUAAAGAAUGAGAAGAUAAUUUGAGAGUCAAGAUGAUAUGCGAAAAAGCUCAGAGAAAAACCUCCAACAAUAUGGAAUGUCUCUAUAGAAAAAACAUCGCGCAGAAAAGGGGUUGAAGAAAACGAAAGUGGUGACCAUUUCAUUUUCUAACAAUAACUGAUAUAAAAACAUAUUUUUCUAACGUAAGAAAUGUGCUCUCGUAACAAUUUAUACCUAUUACUGUUUUGCUUUAUUUAAACUCAAAGGUAUACAUCAAUAAUAUUUCCGUAAUCCAUCAAAUUCAUAAUAAAAAUUAAUAGUGAACGGGCACAGAUCAAUAAGUGAGCUUUCUAAUUUGAAAUGCGAUUCUGCUCAUAUCAACAAUCUUUUGUUUCUUCCUCAGAAAUUUGGUCUAGAUGUGUAAUUUAGUGAAUGUUUAACAACAAUUGUUUGUAGACAACCUCAUAUCUUAAGACAAAAACGGAAGUUAGUUUUGUAUGAAAAUUCUACACUAAUAAUUUCAAAGGUGAAAAAGUGCACCAAGGAUCACGGAAAAUGUAGAAUGUUCAAUUAUAGUUUCGAUCCAAAAUCAACUGUAGACAUCACACAUAGCUCAGUAUUCUGAUAAUCAUUUGAGUAUGAAUAGUUUUUCUAGAGCUGGGUGCCCUGUUUGCUCAUAGUUGACGACAAACGCUAACGUAUGACAAAUUCGCUGAAUUUUUUGGAGUUGUUCAAUUAGAAUAUGGACAUUUUUGAGCCAUUUCGUGAACCUAGAUUGGCCACAACACACUUGAGAUCAAAUAGUAAAAAGGACAAUCCCAAUGUGAUAUCAUGUUAAUACUUUCUUGUGGUGGCUCAUUAUCGAAACUUCACCGAAAAUUUGAUUGGGUAUAAAUACAUUACAAUUUGAAGAAUAUUGAUUGAACAUGUUCACAAGAGAUUAAAGUUCAAAAUAAAUCAAUAAAUAAUCUGACGGGUGGUGGUAUAUUUGGAUUCAUUGGAAAAAUUUCGAUAGAACAAGGAAAGUAAACAAAAAUCCAAAAUCAAAAUAUUUUGAUAAAGAUAGAAAUAGGUCGAAAGGUCAAGCGGCAUUUAUAUAAGAUGGAUAUUUCUAGAGCAGCAUCCUAUUCCUAGCAAUCAUUGAAAAUAAUUUGAUUCCAUUUCAUCCAUUACCUUUUUUUAGUAUUAGAAUCUUAACAAAACCAUACCAACAAAAUGAUUAUAUAUAUAAAUAAC
Long non-coding RNA from Diorhabda sublineata, 2406 nucleotides. RefSeq lists it as uncharacterized. The transcript is spliced from 3 exons. Lineage: Eukaryota; Metazoa; Arthropoda; Insecta; Coleoptera; Chrysomelidae. The record is from RefSeq and is a predicted model, not a curated record.